Molecule: small RNA, 1352 nt
Filed under: Pongo abelii (Sumatran orangutan)
Lineage: Eukaryota; Metazoa; Chordata; Mammalia; Primates; Hominidae
Description: retained intron
Source: RNAcentral
CUACAACCCCAUCCCCGUCCGACAGAACUGCCUCACGGUUAACCGGUCUCUCUUCCUCUUCAGCGAAGACAACGUGGUGAGAAAAUACGCCAAAAAGAUCACCGAAUGGCCUCCCUUUGAAUAUAUGAUUUUAGCCACCAUCAUAGCGAAUUGCAUCGUCCUCGCACUGGAGCAGCAUCUGCCUGAUGAUGACAAGACCCCUAUGUCUGAACGGCUGGAUGACACAGAACCAUACUUCAUUGGAAUUUUUUGUUUCGAGGCUGGAAUUAAAAUCAUUGCCCUUGGGUUUGCCUUCCACAAAGGCUCCUACUUGAGGAAUGGCUGGAACGUCAUGGACUUUGUGGUGGUGCUAACGGGCAUCUUGGCGACAGUUGGGACGGAGUUUGACCUACGGACGCUGAGGGCAGUUCGAGUGCUGCGGCCGCUCAAGCUGGUGUCUGGAAUCCCAAGUGCGUGAGUUUCCGACCCUGACAAGGGGUUUGCUCACAGGCCCCAGGAGCCCUCAGUUUCCCCUAUGCAGAGCAUCUCAGGAGGCCACAUCCUGCCACCAGCCUGUGUGAGGGCAGUCUCUUCUUUGGGACUCCCUAUAGGGGACCCCCUAGGAAUAUGACUGUAGCUCCCCAUGAGCUCCUGAAAGCAAGCUAGGAGCCACACCCAUUUAUUGAGCACCUACUGUCUACUAUCGGGAGCCAUGCUAAGCACCACAUGUGAUCUCAUUCAGUACUCACAGCCCUAUGAAGUCGAUAGGACUGAUGUCUCUAUUUUAUGGAGGGGGAAACUGAGGCUCAGAGUGGCUGAAACAUUGGAGCAGGGUUUUGUGGCUGAGAAGUGGCAGAACUAGGAGUGAGCAAGUGUGACUCCAAGCCUGGGCCGUACCACUGGUGGCAAUGACCAUUCCCAUUUACUGAGUGCCUGUUGCAUACAGGGCACUGCAGAAGGACUUUACAUGAAUUACCUUAUUUCAUCCUCACAGUCACCCAGCGAACACCCAUUUUACAGAUGAGAAGGUUGAGGCUCAAGGAGGUUAAAUUACUCACCUGAAUUCUUAGAGUGGACAGUAACGAGCUCUAAAAUUCAUACUCAUUCCUUGCUGCUUUCUCAUUCUCCACAGAUACAUCUAGUCCCCGUUUAAGGGUGGCUGCCAUAUGCAGGGUCAAAAUUAAGUAUAGGUUGAGCCAAAAAAAAUGUAAAAAGCAAAAAUAAAACAGGGCUGUCUGUCCCUUUUCUAUCUUCUUGUCUUGGUUAAUAAUAAUAAUUUAGCCAGGCAUGGUGGCUCAUGCCUGUAAUUCCAGCACUUUGGGAGGAUCACUUGAGGCCACAAGUUCAAGACCAGCCUGGGCAACAUUGUGAGA